Molecule: non-coding RNA, 181 nt
Organism: Microbulbifer thermotolerans
Lineage: Bacteria; Pseudomonadati; Pseudomonadota; Gammaproteobacteria; Cellvibrionales; Microbulbiferaceae
Rfam family: 6S / SsrS RNA
About the family: E. coli 6S RNA was the first non coding RNA to be sequenced, but its function was unknown until recently. It consists of 184 nucleotides that fold into an extended hairpin structure with a large single-stranded internal bulge.
Source: Rfam
CUUGCCCUGGGGUGUUGGCCAGUUGACUAUGUCCUCGAGCCGAUAAUCUUGCCCAGGUGGUUUCCAGCGGAUGCUGGUGUGCAGGUCCGCCACGUAGCGGAAAGCCUAAUGUAUCCCGGACACCACCACCUUGAACUUCACGGUUCAAGGCCACGUCUUCAGCCGCACACUCGGGGUUCCC